UACAGAGGGUGCGCGCGUUAAUCGGAAUUACUGGGCGUAAAGCGUGCGUAGACGGUUUCGUAAGUCGGGUGUGAAAUCCCCGGGCUCAACCUGGGAAUUGCAUUCGAAACUGCGAGGCUAGGGUACGGAAGAGGGAAGCGGAAUUUCUGGUGUAGCGGUGAAAUGCGUAGAUAUCGUGAGGAAGACCAGUGGCGAAGGCGGGUCUCUGGACAGUUCCUGACACUGAGGCACGAAGGCCAGGGGAGCAAACGGG
RNAcentral lists this ribosomal RNA (253 nucleotides) under uncultured bacterium. RNAcentral describes it as "partial 16S ribosomal RNA". It matches the Rfam family "Bacterial small subunit ribosomal RNA", at positions 524 to 776 of the family's 1533-position model. The record is from RNAcentral.